UACACACGUGCUACAAUGGGCGGUACAAAGGGCUGCGAAACCCGCGAGGGGGGAGCGAAUCCCAAAAAGCCGCUCUCAGUUCGGAUUGCAGGCUGCAACUCGCCUGCAUGAAGCCGGAAUCGCUAGUAAUCGCGGAUCAGCAUGCCGCGGUGAAUACGUUCCCGGGCCUU
Molecule: ribosomal RNA, 170 nt
Filed under: uncultured Geobacillus sp.
Lineage: Bacteria; Bacillati; Bacillota; Bacilli; Caryophanales; Anoxybacillaceae
Description: partial 16S ribosomal RNA
Rfam family: Bacterial small subunit ribosomal RNA
Source: RNAcentral